Molecule: long non-coding RNA, 1588 nt
Filed under: Ananas comosus (pineapple)
Lineage: Eukaryota; Viridiplantae; Streptophyta; Magnoliopsida; Poales; Bromeliaceae
Description: long non-coding RNA (ACOM_LNC033852)
Source: RNAcentral
UCAUGUUUCUAUGGAAGGGAAUUAGGUCUAACUUUAUAUGAUAGUAAAAGAUAGGUGAGAUUUCAAAAAGGGUUGUGUUUUGGCUAUGAAAUGAUGGGUCUUGUAUAUCGUACAAAAAGAUAAAAUCAAUUAUUUCAGUUCAGACUCUACUUAAUAGAAUCCAGCUAUUAUUCUUUUAGGAUGACGAAAAUCUUCAUCCUCUAAGUCGUUUUAGAUGAUAAUAAAAGAUAGGUGAGAUUCCAAAAAGGGUUGUGUUUUGGCUAUGAAAUGAUGGGUCUUGUAUAUCGUACAAGAAGAUAAAAUCAAUUAUUUCAGUUCAGACUCUCCUUAAUAGAAUCCAGCUAUUAUCCUUUUAGGAUGAUGAAAAUCUUCAUUCUCUUAAGUCGUUUUAGAUGAUAAUAAAAGAUAGGUGACAUUCCAAAAAGGGUUGUAUUUUGGCUAAUAAAAUGAUCGGUCUUGUGUAUUGUACAAGAAGAUAAAAUCAAUUAUUUUAGUUCAGACUCAACUUAAUAGAAUCCAGCUAUUAUUCUUUUAGGAUGACGAAAACCUUCAUCCUCUAAGUCGUUUUAGAUGAUAAUAAAAGAUAGGUGAGAUUCCAAAAAAAGUUGUGCUUUGGCUAUGAAAUGAUAGGUCCUGUAUAUUGUACAAGAAGAUAAAAUCAAUUAUUUCAGUUUAGACUCUCCUUAAUAGAAUCCAGCUAUUAUUCUUUUAGGAUGAUGAAAAUCUUCAUUCUCUUAAGUCGUUUUAGAUGAUAAUAAAAGAUAGGUGAGAUUCCAAAAAGGGUUGUAUUUUGGCUAUGAAAUGAUCGGUCUUGUAUAUUGUACAAGAAGAUAAAAUCAAUUAUUUCAGUUCAGACUCAACUUAAUAGAAUCCAGCUAUUAUUUUUUUAGGAUGACGAAAACCUUCAUCCUCUAAGUCAUUUUAGAUGAUAAUAAAAGAUAGGUGAGAUUCCAAAAAGGGUUGUGUUUUGGCUAUGAAAUGAUGGGUCUUGUUUAUUGUACAAGAAGAUAAAAUCAAUUAUUUCAGUUCAAACUCUCCUUAAUAGAAUCCUGCUAUAUAUUAUCCUUUUAGGAGGAUGGAGACCUUCGUCCUCUAAGUCGUUUUAGAUAAUAAGAAUUUCAAAUUAAUGAUUGGAACUGUUAAAGUUGAUCUAGAGUAUUUAGAGUAUCUAGAAAUUAAAUUUCAUGAAUUUUAAAAAUUAUUUACGUAGUGAUCACAGGAUCACAAAAUUGGCAGUUUUUUAUGCCUUAUAUGAGCCAUUUGCUUGUUUAACGGCAUAGAACAAAUCAAACAGCUUGAGUUUUUGAUGAAAAUUUUUUUUAUACUAUUUAGAUAACGUUUGAUAAUUCUGAUCAUAAAAUGAAAGUCUAAUAUCUAUUUUCAUAAGAUUAUUCGUUUUUGACUGUUUAUUUUUCGACUCUUCAAUAAACUUAAUGACGAAUUUUAAAAUAUAUGAAAUUUAGUUUCUAGACAUUAUAAAUACUCUAAAUCAACAUUAACGAUUCCAAUCAUCAAUUCGGAAUUCCUAUCAUCUAAAAUAACUUAGGAGGACGAAAGCCUUCUUUGUCCUAAAAGGAUAGUAGCUGGA